GUUGGUUAGAAUACCGGCCUGUCACGCCGGGGGUCGCGGGUUCGAGUCCCGUCCACUCCG
This 60-nucleotide transfer RNA is filed under the name Vibrio crassostreae. RNAcentral describes it as "tRNA-Asp". It matches the Rfam family "tRNA", at positions 15 to 71 of the family's 71-position model. Rfam says of the family: Transfer RNA (tRNA) molecules are approximately 80 nucleotides in length. Their secondary structure includes four short double-helical elements and three loops (D, anti-codon, and T loops). Lineage: Bacteria; Pseudomonadati; Pseudomonadota; Gammaproteobacteria; Vibrionales; Vibrionaceae. The record is from RNAcentral.